AUCUUCCAAAAGAGAGAAGAAGAGGUCAAUAAGAAGUGGCGAAGUACAGACUCAAGGAAUAAACUUUGCAAGAAGAGAUUCUAACACGGUGCAAGGGGAAAAGGAUCAAAAUGGAGAUCGGAAGAUUAAAAGGACAGAAUUUUCAUGUUGAAUUCGCGACGUGAUAGUAUAUCAUAAAAAACUCAGUUAACAUUUAUUGGGAAUGAAUGAAAACAAAUUUUCAACUCAAGAAAGAUCGAUAGAAGGGAGAUGUCCAAUACCUGCUGCCUUAGGCGAACAAAGGAAGAUCUGUCAGCCUUAAAGAGUAAGGCCUUUGUUAUUGUGAAUCUUCGUUGAAUAACCUCAGACCUGUUGAGGAAGAACACAUCUAAUUACUAAUGCAGACGAUA
Long non-coding RNA from Capsicum annuum, 389 nucleotides. RefSeq lists it as uncharacterized. The transcript is spliced from 2 exons. The record is from RefSeq and is a predicted model, not a curated record. Lineage: Eukaryota; Viridiplantae; Streptophyta; Magnoliopsida; Solanales; Solanaceae.